RNAcentral lists this ribosomal RNA (226 nucleotides) under uncultured bacterium. RNAcentral's name for it is "partial 16S ribosomal RNA". It matches the Rfam family "Bacterial small subunit ribosomal RNA", at positions 127 to 348 of the family's 1533-position model. The record is from RNAcentral.
UGCCCUCCGCAGGGGGAUAACCCGGAGAAAUUCGGACUAAUACCGCGUGGUACAUCUGUGGGGCAUCCCACGGGUGUUAAAAGGAAGCGAUUCCGGCGGAGGAUGGGCAUGCGGCGCAUUAGCUUGUUGGCGGGGUAACGGCCCACCAAGGCGACGAUGCGUAGGGGUUCUGAGAGGAAGGUCCCCCACACUGGUACUGAGACACGGACCAGACUCCUACGGGAGG